GACGAACGCUGGCGGCGUGCCUAAUACAUGCAAGUAGAACGCUGAAGAGAGGAGCUUGCUCUUCUUGGAUGAGUUGCGAACGGGUGAGUAACGCGUAGGUAACCUGCCUUGUAGCGGGGGAUAACUAUUGGAGACGAUAGCUAAUACCGCAUAACAAUGGAUGACACAUGUCAUUUAUUUGAAAGGGGCAAUUGCUCCACUACAAGAUGGACCUGCGUUGUACUAGCUAGUAGGUGAGGUAAUGGCUCACCUAGGCGACGAUACAUAGCCGACCUGAGAGGGUGAUCGGCCACACUGGGACUGAGACACGGCCCAGACUCCUACGGGAGGCAGCAGUAGGGAAUCUUCGGCAAUGGGGGCAACCCUGACCGAGCAACGCCGCGUGAGUGAAGAAGGUUUUCGGAUCGUAAAGCUCUGUUGUAAGUCAAGAACGGGUGUGAGAGUGGAAAGUUCACACUGUGACGGUAGCUUACCAGAAAGGGACGGCUAACUACGU
Molecule: ribosomal RNA, 496 nt
Filed under: uncultured bacterium
Lineage: Bacteria
Description: partial 16S ribosomal RNA
Rfam family: Bacterial small subunit ribosomal RNA
Source: RNAcentral